This 335-nucleotide ribosomal RNA is filed under the name uncultured Oomycota. RNAcentral describes it as "eukaryotic LSU rRNA". It matches the Rfam family "Eukaryotic large subunit ribosomal RNA", at positions 326 to 612 of the family's 3401-position model. The record is from RNAcentral. Lineage: Eukaryota; Oomycota.
GUGCGAGACCGAUAGCGAACAAGUACCGUGAGGGAAAGAUGAAAAGAACUUUGAAAAGAGAGUUAAAGAGUACCUGAAACUGCUGAAAGGGAACCGAAUCGUUUCCAGUGUCUAUAAUCCAUGGCAUAUUUCAUUGGCGAGUGGGUGCGUGCAGCGUUUUGGAAGUGGUUUCCGCUCCUGUCGUUGUUGUGCAUUUGCUUGCUGGUGCCCUGUGCUGUGGUGGGACGUCAGAGUCAGUUUGUAUGUUGCGGGAAAUGGUUAUCAGGGAGGUAGGUCGCUUCGGUGGCUGUUAUAUCCUGGUAACUAGUCGUCGUGGCUGAGACUGAGGUGCCUAC